CAGAAAACAAAACCAGGAGGCACGUAAAUGUUUCUUCUCCAUGAUGUUUCUUCAAAUGUUUCUUCUGGAUGAUGAGAAGACUGUGACACGGGAUGCCACCUUUGGUCUUGUGAUAAAGCAAAGCUCAGGAAGAAGUGUGAUUAAAUGGUACCCACAUGUUGAGAAGGAUGUACAGGGGCACCUGCAGCCAAAUCCAAGCUUCAGAUGGUGACGGUGUGGAGAGACGGUGGUGUUUCCUCAGAAGAACCAGCAGAGUCACAAAGGACACCAGUCCAUCUCACCACCUUGACUUGCUGACUGAUGCUCGUCUGCACUGCACAGAGGAAAUCAACUGACUGAGAUGGGCAGUAUAUCAGUCUUGGACUGUCUAACCUGCCGGAGCAGCACUGAAUGACCACCACACAUGAGCAUGUUCCUGCAACAUUCAGCAUCUGAUCCUUCAUCUGUGUGCUGCUGCUUUUGGUAAGUAGAGUUACCCAACUACAGUAACUCUAAACACAUGCCAUCCAUUUCUAACGGCCUGGUUACUUCCUGUCAGUUACUUUAGAAACCAUGUGGUCACCUGACCUAACACUGUUUCUUCUUCUUCUCCUUAAUGUUGAAGUGUCAAAUGUCAAACAGCUGGAGAGGAAACUACACCAGUGUACUGGGAUGUUUCAGCAACACGUGCCAGAUGCUGUUCCUUCAUGGUGACAUCACCAGAGACAGUCCCGCCCACCUCAGGACCUCGCCAUUGAUCAUGAUGAUUAUAAUGAUGACAGCGAGCGGAACUAAGACUGUAAAAAUCCACGACCAGAAUGUUUAGAUGCUUUCUAAUUAUUAAUGAAUACUGAGUUUUUGUCUCUCCCUUUUUUUUUUUUUACCUCAUUUGUUACUAACAAAGUUCACCAAACUCACACAGUUUACAUUCCGUAUAUUUCCAUCAAGGUUUAUUUUCUUAGAAAUCAUCGUUUUUCUCCUUUUCUCUUUUGUAAUUGAUGAUAAUUCAGUGAAUAUACUGCGCUGCUUCCUUUUAUUGCGUCACACAUUGCUUUAAGUUUUUCAGAGUCCAGUUAUUUUUUUACUGCUGUUUGAAUUCUCUGUAUGUUUGACCCUGUAGACUGUUUGAUGGACUGCUUGUCUUCCUGUUUGUAACCGCCGCCUGUUUUUGACUAAAGAUUUGGAUUUCUGACUUUAACACAGCCUCUGCAUGUCCUCCCUUUGUGUCCUCUUCCUCUGUGAAUGUGUUGCAUGUGAGAUUCAUUUUAUUAACAGCUUUCCCACAGUGAGUUGCAUCAGCAUUCAUUCACAGCACAUUUCAGAAGGAUUCAGAUUAAUAGAGUGAUCUUAUAGUCAG
This is a long non-coding RNA of Astatotilapia calliptera (eastern happy), 1336 nucleotides long. The record is from Ensembl. NCBI's taxonomy places the organism in Eukaryota, Metazoa, Chordata, Actinopteri, Cichliformes, Cichlidae.